Molecule: transfer RNA, 67 nt
Filed under: Paranauphoeta nigra
Lineage: Eukaryota; Metazoa; Arthropoda; Insecta; Blattodea; Blaberidae
Description: tRNA-Asp
Source: RNAcentral
GAAGAGUUAGUUAAUUUUAUAACAAUAGUAUGUCAACCUAAAAUAAUCAACUAUUUGAUACCCUUCU